Molecule: ribosomal RNA, 404 nt
Filed under: uncultured bacterium
Lineage: Bacteria
Description: bacterial SSU rRNA
Rfam family: Bacterial small subunit ribosomal RNA
Source: RNAcentral
UGGGGAAUAUUGGACAAUGGGCGCAAGCCUGAUCCAGCCAUGCCGCGUGGAUGAUGAAGGCCCUAGGGUUGUAAAGUCCUUUUAACGGGGAAGAUAAUGACGGUACCCGUAGAAUAAGCCCCGGCUAACUUCGUGCCAGCAGCCGCGGUAAUACGAAGGGGGCUAGCGUUGCUCGGAAUUACUGGGCGUAAAGCGCACGUAGGCGGGUCGUUAAGUCAGAUGUGAAAGCCCUGGGCUCAACCUGGGAACUGCAUUUGAAACUGGCGAGCUAGAGUUUGAGAGAGGUAAGUGGAAUUUCAGGUGUAGCGGUGAAAUGCGUAGAUAUGCGGAGGAACACCGAUGGCGAAGGCAAUCCCCUGGACCUGUACUGACGCUCAUGCACGAAAGCGUGGGGAGCAAACAGG